GAGGGAUUAUUAUAAUUAGUAUAACAAAUUGCAAAUUUGUUGGUUUUAUCUCUUU
RNAcentral lists this transfer RNA (55 nucleotides) under Syphacia obvelata. RNAcentral describes it as "tRNA-Cys". Lineage: Eukaryota; Metazoa; Nematoda; Chromadorea; Rhabditida; Oxyuridae. The record is from RNAcentral.